This 85-nucleotide transfer RNA is filed under the name Ancylobacter tetraedralis. RNAcentral's name for it is "tRNA-Arg". The record is from RNAcentral. Lineage: Bacteria; Pseudomonadati; Pseudomonadota; Alphaproteobacteria; Hyphomicrobiales; Xanthobacteraceae.
GUAGGGCUGCCGGCUACGACAGAAAGUCGCCGUUCCUGAACUACGAAUCUGGGGGUCAGGAGUUCGAAUCUCUUCGGGCGCGCCA